CCACGCCAAUAAGAAGGAAGGAAGGAAUAGCCACCGUAUCCACUGGCGGCACCAGUAUACCAGAAGAGUAAGAGUAGCAACUGUUGCCACGCCCCCUUGUGAAAGCGAAGGCACCUAGAACCGUGG
Bufo bufo (common toad) is the source of this 126-nucleotide long non-coding RNA. RefSeq lists it as uncharacterized. Lineage: Eukaryota; Metazoa; Chordata; Amphibia; Anura; Bufonidae. The record is from RefSeq and is a predicted model, not a curated record. The transcript is spliced from 3 exons.